Molecule: transfer RNA, 105 nt
Filed under: Amanita muscaria Koide BX008
Lineage: Eukaryota; Fungi; Basidiomycota; Agaricomycetes; Agaricales; Amanitaceae
Rfam family: tRNA
About the family: Transfer RNA (tRNA) molecules are approximately 80 nucleotides in length. Their secondary structure includes four short double-helical elements and three loops (D, anti-codon, and T loops). Further hydrogen bonds mediate the characteristic L-shaped molecular structure. tRNAs have two regions of fundamental functional importance: the anti-codon, which is responsible for specific mRNA codon recognition, and the 3' end, to which the tRNAs corresponding amino acid is attached (by aminoacyl-tRNA synthetases). tRNAs cope with the degeneracy of the genetic code in two manners: having more than one tRNA (with a specific anti-codon) for a particular amino acid; and 'wobble' base-pairing, i.e. permitting non-standard base-pairing at the 3rd anti-codon position.
Source: Rfam by way of RNAcentral
GGCGAGAUGGCCGAGCGGUCCAAGGCGCCAGACUAAGGACUAGGACAUCUGAUGUCCAUUGUAAUCUGGUCCGAAAGGGCGUGGGUUCGAAUCCCACUCUCGUCA